AGUGAACGCUGGCGGUAGGCCUAACACAUGCAAGUCGAACGGCAGCACAGUAAGAGCUUGCUCUUACGGGUGGCGAGUGGCGGACGGGUGAGGAAUACAUCGGAAUCUACUUUUUCGUGGGGGAUAACGUAGGGAAACUUACGCUAAUACCGCAUACGACCUACGGGUGAAAGCAGGGGAUCUUCGGACCUUGCGCGAUUGAAUGAGCCGCUGUCGGAUUAGCUAGUUGGCGGGGUAAAGGCCAACCAAGGCGACGAUCCGUAGCUGGUCUGAGAGGAGGGUCAGCCACACUGGAACUGAGACACGGUCUAGACUCCUACGGGAGGCAGCAGUGGGGAAUAUUGGACAAUGGGCGCAAGCCUGAUCCAGCCAUACCGCGUGGGUGAAGAAGGCCUUCGGGUUGUAAAGCCCUUUUGUUGGGAAAGAAAAGCAGCAGGUUAAUACCCCGCUGUUCUGACGGUACCCAAAGAAUAAGCACCGGCUAACUUCGUG
This 492-nucleotide ribosomal RNA is filed under the name uncultured bacterium. RNAcentral describes it as "partial 16S ribosomal RNA". It matches the Rfam family "Bacterial small subunit ribosomal RNA", at positions 29 to 507 of the family's 1533-position model. The record is from RNAcentral.